This 750-nucleotide long non-coding RNA is filed under the name Rattus norvegicus (Norway rat). Its description in RNAcentral is "long non-coding RNA NONRATT001297". The record is from RNAcentral. Lineage: Eukaryota; Metazoa; Chordata; Mammalia; Rodentia; Muridae.
AGAUACUUCUCACUACAAAUCGGCUCUCUCCGGGGAUUAGCAGCUACACGAAAGUGCAUACUGGCGCUGCGGGCAGCCGAGGGGGCCGGGCAAGGCAGACACUCCCCGGCCCAGCCCCGCGCCUCCACUGAGACUCUGGGGACGCGCAGGGGUCCCGCAGCCGGUGGGGUGACUUCGCCCUCCUUCUUCCUCCUCCCCUUCCACGUGGGGCCCGCCACGUGGGGAGACGCGAGCUCUGGCGGGCCUCGGCACCGUCCCCCGGGUGGCCCCGGCUCGAUAAGGCCCCCACCACGCCCGCUCAGCCGACCUGCACUCUACUCGGCCCCGAGGCUCCAACUUCCUCCUGGGCCCCGCGCAGGCCACGGGUGCCGUCCCAGGCUCGUGAGGUCAGGCGCGGGCCGGCCACAGGGGGCACUUGCGCUCCCAGAUCCCAGAUCCGGGAGACCCUGCCAGGGAGGUAGCGCUGGCUGCGGGUGCGCGCGGAGACUGGUCUGUGUGCUGGAACUUGCCACGAUGUGUUCGCUACGAGAAGCCAAAUGUUUUUACACAUUUAGAAAUGUCUUUCUGUUGUCUGAAUGUCGCUGGGGCUAUUUUGAAAGCCUUGCCUUGGUCAGGUCACCAGCCUCUCUGAGACCUUGCGGGCCCAGGGGUCGCGUGUGCAGUGCCAUUUCUCGAUCACGAGUCCACAAGUGUCUCGGUGCAUUGCGAUUGAAAUCUGGACUCUCAACGACCAGGGGACACAGCGGCCGC